AAACUGAAGAGUUUGAUCCUGGCUCAGAUUGAACGCUGGCGGUAUGCUUAACACAUGCAAGUCGAACGGUAACAGCAGAGCUUGCUCUGGCUGACGAGUGGCGGACGGGUGC
Molecule: ribosomal RNA, 112 nt
Filed under: Gammaproteobacteria bacterium
Lineage: Bacteria; Pseudomonadati; Pseudomonadota; Gammaproteobacteria
Description: partial 16S ribosomal RNA
Rfam family: Bacterial small subunit ribosomal RNA
Source: RNAcentral